This 449-nucleotide ribosomal RNA is filed under the name uncultured archaeon. Its description in RNAcentral is "bacterial SSU rRNA". It matches the Rfam family "Archaeal small subunit ribosomal RNA", at positions 474 to 922 of the family's 1478-position model. The record is from RNAcentral.
CACCGGCGGCUCGAGUGGUAACCGUUAUUAUUGGGUCUAAAGGGUCUGUAGCCGGCCGGAUAAGUCUCUUGAGAAAUCCAGCAGCUCAACUGUUGGGCUUUCAGGAGAUACUGUCUGGCUCGAGGCCGGGAGAGGUGAGAGGUACUUCAGGGGUAGGGGUGAAAUCUUGUAAUCCUUGAAGGACCACCAGUGGCGAAGGCGUCUCACCAGAACGGACCUGACGGCAAGGGACGAAAGCUAGGGGCACGAACCGGAUUAGAUACCCGGGUAGUCCUAGCCGUAAACGAUACUCGCUAGGUGUCGGCCACGGUGCGACCGUUGUCGGUGCCGUAGGGAAGCCGUGAAGCGAGCCACCUGGGAAGUACGGCCGCAAGGCUGAAACUUAAAGGAAUUGGCGGGGGAGCACCACAACGGGUGGAGCUUGCGGUUUAAUUGGAUUCAACGCCGGA